Oreochromis niloticus (Nile tilapia) is the source of this 5474-nucleotide long non-coding RNA. RefSeq lists it as uncharacterized. The transcript has 3 exons. The record is from RefSeq and is a predicted model, not a curated record. Lineage: Eukaryota; Metazoa; Chordata; Actinopteri; Cichliformes; Cichlidae.
UCGAUAAUUUCCUCCUGUAAAAUUUCUUUGUACUAUUUUGAGAUCUGUUCAGGGAGUACAAGCCACCGAGGCCCUGAAGUACCAAAGUAACCCUAAAACAUGAUGGUCCCUCCACCGUGCUUCACAAAUCAGAUGAGGCUUUGCUCCAAGUGUAGCGCCGGGAUUUUAACUUCAGUUUCACCUCUCCUCAGAGGUGAGCCGUAGAAGUAGUAAGGAAAUACCAUUAACAUUUCUCUCACAAUGAACACGUGAACACAUGCUUUAGCAAGUUGUAAAGAUUUCUGCACGUCUUCUACUAUUGCCCUUGUGUUUUAGUUCACCUGUUCCGGAUUGUAGAUCAUCCUCUUGAAAUGAUCCUUUCAAGUAGUAACAAAUCAUGAAUUUUCUGUAUUUUACAGGUAACUUAUUUUUACUGUGGAUUGAUUAAAACCCAGGACUUUAAAAACCGUUGAGACAUUUUCAUCUUUUUGCAUCUUUUCAAUGCGAUUCCUCAAAGGCCCUGUGAAUGGUGACACACCAAUAGUUUUUCAGAAGAGCCACACUGACAUUACAGACUUUGUAUCCCUCGAUUAAUAGGGAGGGGCACCUCCACAACUAUGCUCCAAAUCUUAUCUCCUUGACUGGAAUAACCAUGACGAAGUACCUUUAGAAGCAGCCAUGAGUGGACACAAAAAGUUUCCAUAUUUCCCAUUUAGUCAGAAACUUUGACGAUGAUCCAAUUACAUUUUACGAGUCACGUAAGCAGAACUCCUGGUAAUUCCAGUAGGUUCACAGAAGUUUUUCCUCGAACUGAAAUAUUGAUAGUACAUUAACACAAGCACAGUUCUGAGCUACUGUGACUGUGCUCAAAAAUUCUCAUUAAACACUACUUUAAACUUCCCUCGAUUUGAGAGAGGAGUUUGCACAUUUUACUUGACUAUACAUGUCUAUGUACUUUUUUAAAAGAAAACAAAUCAUGUUCAUGCUAUUUAACACAAUGCAAGGCGAGAUGUUAAACUGCUCCACAGACUAUUAAGAAGUUAGAAGUUGACACACUUUCACUAACUAAUCAAUUAAAAUGAGCCGGUUCUAGUCAAGUAUUGAAAUCCACACUCUAGAUGAUUCAGUAGGAUCACUUUACUUUUUUAGUCACCUGUACUCUAACUGAAAUCUUGUUUUUGACUUGGGAUCUAGCGCAGUCAAUUUGUUCUUUCUGUAUGCAGUUUAUUAACAUAUGUAUAUGUGUGCGUGUGUUUAUACGAAUGCAUGACUUGAUAUCUUACUGAACUUCAACUUGAGUGGGAUUUUAAGGAGUUUUCAUCAAUCUACCAAUUCCUGUAAGCCAUGAGCGAAUUCCCGUAAAUCCUAUUUCUAUUUCAGUUUCCUUAUUACUGGCACAUGGGAAGUUAUUAGCACGGAAUUCCCCUAUGUGGAAAACUCUGAAGUCUCUAAACAGUAAAUGCGCCAGUCGCUCGUCGGAGAAGGCAGUGAGACGGAUGCGCGUGUAGUCGGCUCCCGGAUGAAUUGCAGAAACGCUUAAAAAAGGACAGAAUUUCUUGCAAACUCUUGAUCCUUUUCUUUCACUUGACUCUAUUUUGACAGUGGCGCUGCCUGUUACCAGUAAGAGUUUAUCUAGCCCCAGUAAUAGUUUUUUUCUGGCUUUUUUUAAGUAAAUGAAAAUAUGUGUGGGUGCACGUGUCUGUUACGAUGGUGGAGUCGACACUAAUUAAAGACAUCCAUCAGAUUAUGACAGUGCUGCCAGGCAGCAAUGCAUCGUGGGACCUCACCAGUGCAUCCAAGACAGCAAUCAAAGACACUGAUGAUGUUCCACAGCAAGAUUCAUCUUGUUUCUGUUGAUUCACUGACAAACUAUGUGUGGGAUAAACCGAGGCACACAGUGUCAUAUGUUUUUAAAUCAUUACGCUUCCCUCAAUAAAGUUGUUUAAAGUCGUCGCCUGCAGUCAGCUGCAGGUCGAAGUCUUUCGUUUUACGAAUCCUUCUUUUAGGUUGAGGUUGCACAUCAAGCACUGCAACAAGUGCAUUAAGGACUUCAGGUGUUUGUUGUGGCUACAAUGACGUUCUUACUGCUUGAGGAAUGCAGUCAAGUAUUUCAUGCAUGCUGUACAGGAUUUAUUUACUGCCCUUUUAGACACCUGCACCCAACUAGACCAAAUCACUUCCUUCUUACGGGAAAUUGUUUACUGGUAAAAUGGAAAAAAGCUAAUUAAGCGUGAUUCAGGCCUUCAAGGACCUUGGAGCAAGGAUAAAGCUUUCUUAGAAAAAUGCAAAGGUGGCAGCUUUUGUGAGUAAAUCAUAGUGUGAGAAUAAGAAAAGAGUUAUAUAAAUUUAAAAAAAAAUACUCCUCAGGAUUAGCAGAUUUUUAUUUUUUUUGCAAUUAGUUUUUCAUGCUGAUGUCUUAGAGUGCAAUGAAAAAUAUCAACCAGCGUGAUGGGGGAGUUUCAAAGUGUUGCACUCAAGGCCCUCAGAUUGCAUUUUGGUCAUUUGGCUGCUUUGAGUGGUAAUUUGUUACUACUUUGCAAAAAAGUGCAUAAAAUGCAAGAUCUUGUUCUUACAAUACUGCAUGUGGCUUAAUGUGCUUAAAGUGUGCUGUUGAAAACUGCCUUGUAAAAAGGGGCAGGUUAGACACUAGAAGUAAUUAAUCACGUUCUUCUUAAAAAAAUAUUUCCACACCUGUCAGAUCUGCGGGUUGAUAGUGGCUUUUUCUUUGUGUUGUCAUUUACCUGUUUUGGAUCGUCAAAGGUCCACACCAGUGUUUUUGCUUGUUUUAGCUCACUUCACAGCAUGCAAUGUAUGCUGACCUUGAUAGAGUUGCUUUAUUGUACGAUGUGCAUAUUUUUGGCAACACAUCACUGAAGUAUAAAAACGUCCGUGGGAAAGCUAAGGGAACACCAUGAUCCUUUUGCUGAAGUUCACGUGUGGCCAUGCCCAGAUGAAAGAAUGGAUGUGUCACACACUGUCAGUCACCAAACAGAAACCAAGGUGGAGUAAGGAACGUUGCUUUCUCCAUGUUUAGGUAAAUAAAAUUUUUCAAUUUUUAUUCAGCAUUGUUCCAGUAAGCAAACAUUAGGCUUAAGGUAACCUCUGAGUCUGGUAGUUAGAUUGUUGCUUUAUUAUUUUCUUGUCAGAUUUUUGGGGGUCAUUUUGGACGCGUCUCCUCUUUAAUUGUAACACGGCCCCCAUAUUUUUAAAAAUGCAAUAAGGCUGCAUGCUAAUUGGACCUCAUGCUUUUGCUGUCAAAUAGCUGACAGUAUAUCAUGACGUGUACUUGCGAAUAUUACGUGACCUGUUGCAUGCGAUCUUAUCUAGUCAUUCUGUGUCUAUGCCGCUAUCCCCCUCUGACAACUAUUGAUGAAUUGCUGUAGUUACUGCACCAAUAAACAAAUUUAAUGGAAACAUCACAGUCAUUUAUUCCGUUUUGCUCUUUUUUGAAGUCUCAGUCUCUUUUGCAUGCAUACCUGCAUGUACUGUGGCCAGUUUUCACAGUGAAAGACUGACAUAAGGGUGUGACUUCCACACACAUCCUGGAAUACACGGUUGCUUAAUAUUCCUAAAUGAAAACCGAUUACUGACAGCAUUUCUUGUAAAACUGUGUCGCAACACAUUUUAUGAAUGAAAGUGCAGACAGACUUUAGAGUUGUGGUUUUUUUUAAAGAAAAGAAAAGAAAAAAAGAAGAGAGAAUUAAAAACAGGAACUUGGUUUAACUUGUCCGAAAGACUCAUCUUGUGGGGUUUUCUGUUACCGUAUGCUACAUUUUUACAUCCUCAGUUUUAGGGAAGUUCUUCGAUUAUAGCACUCUCACUAACCCAGGCAACUGUGUUGCGUAUUUGUUUUACUGCUUCUUCAGUUCUCCGGCAAAACAGCAACCAAGAGAAGACAUGAGUUAGAAUUCUAGGGCCAUUAUUUUACAGAUUACAUGAAAGUGUGUAAUGCAUUUGUGUAGAGUUUAUGUGUCACUUGUAAAGAGUGCAGAGAGUGCUAGAAAUGUGUGACAUGACAAUAAACACACAUGUUAAAACCGGUUCCAGCUGCCUUCACAUGGGUAACAAAUUAAAAUCAUAAUUAAUAGAAAGUGUCUUACUUUUAGCUGCUCAUCAAACAGCUCGCUGUGCAUGUAUCAGGAUUAUUUAGGUUUAUUGUAGCCCUAUACAUAUAAACAAGGUUAAGGUAAUAUGUAUGGAAUUUUUUAGUAUUUCAUAUUAUAUUAAUUUUACAAAACUCAAAUUAUUGUUGUUAUUAUUAUUAUUAUUAUCAUUAUUAGAAGUAUUAGUAUGGUUUUUCUUGUUGUUUUAUUAAUUUUAAAAGUAUGUAUUUUAAAAGUAUAUUACCGUGACUAUUACUCAAAGUCUUUUGUUACAAGUAAACAGAGACAUGUUGGCAUAUUUCUUUCUUUUUUUCAUUUUAUUAAUGUUCCCAUCUACAUUUCAGACAUACAGAUGGAAAAUAUGUCUCAGUUCUGAUUUGCCUCUCGGACUCUCUUUCUUUCUCUCCUUAUGAUCAGUAUUAUUGUAGAUGGACUGCUAUUGUUGUUACUUCUUGUUGUUUUCUGCAGGCAGGCAAGAAUUUUUGGCACGACAUCCUGGGUUGUGGGUGGUGGCCACUUGUCCCCUGAAACCUCUGUCAUAGUUGUCAGCAAUACUGGACAUCCUGCUUCUUUUAAUGCAUUACUUGCUCAGUAGGAAGAGAAGAAAAUAAAAGCUCUCCACGGGAAAAGAGUGUACAGACAAAACCAGUGACGUCACGUCAUUUUCAUACUGGCAAUGGGAGCGUUUACAUCCAAGAGAACACCCGCAUCAGGAUAAAAACAUGCCUCCAGACUGCAUAGCAGAGCCACUGAAUCACCAGGCUUCAGAUUUUCCUUUAAUUUGUCACCUAUCUUCAAACACUAGAGAGGGAGCAGCAUAUGGGCUGAACAAUACAAGUAAUGCUUGUGCACUAUUUUAGACACGUCGCUGGCAUCAUCUCGGCCUGUUUACUUCCAACUUAAGUCUCGUCUCUAAAUGUCUUCACUUUAGUCCCCUCAUCCUGCUUUCUUCACUUCUGCAGUGUGCUAAAUACAUGUUCCCCCUCGGUCUUCAGGAUCCCCUUCAGGUGCAUGUUCUUUCAGCUCUCAAGAGGCGGAUGGGCAGGGACCGAUCAGUGUGCUCACCUGCUGCUCAAGGAAGUCAUUUCAAUUUUUUCUUAGCCAACUUCAAGAACGUGAUGCCAAACUUGUCCUUCUCGUAACUCAGCACAGACUAUGCGAGUUCUUUUCCAAGAUCAGCAAUAAGAGGGCACGCUGUUUGGUUUUAGUUCUAAUUAAGCUGUUUCCUUGUACCACAUAAUCCAUUUGAAUAAAACCUGUUUGUCUGUGAGCUUCCCGUGCAUUAAUCAAAUCAGACAUUCUAAAAACACUGUGGGGGGGGUUUUCUCCCAACAAAUGCUGAUGGGCUACUUUGGUUACAUUUUUGACUGAAUAAAAGACAAUAAUGGAAAA